UCUGCACCAUCUACAGGGACAAAGAGAUCCUGAGACAGAAAGUAGUGCUGCAGGUCAAAGAACCAUUUCUAAUCUGGAACAUUGUUCUUGUGGUUCUCCUGGUUCUUCUUGUGGUUUCUGGAGGUCUCAUAUAUUAUUUCCAGCACUAUUUCAUGUCAGUUUACCAGGUGGAGGUGAAAUCAGGGGUGGAGUCUGUCCUGCUGCCCUGCAAAACCACACUCCGCCUGCCCAAAGACGCUGAAGUGGAGUGGAAGGAUGGUUCUAUGUAUGACAGGAAGGUCCACGUGUAUGAGAACGGCUCUGACCAGCCUAAAAAACAGCAUGAGGAUUACAGAGGCCGAACAGAGAUGAAGAGAAGCCUGCUGAAACCUGGAGACCUCAGUCUGACCCUGAAAUACCCCACAGAUGAAGACACAAACACCUACACCUGCACUGUUUACAGCAAGGAGGGAAACAUCCUGAUGAAGAAAGACGUGGUGCUCAUUUUCAGAGGCUUAGAGGGAACAUGUUCUGCCCGG
Molecule: long non-coding RNA, 518 nt
Organism: Oreochromis aureus
Lineage: Eukaryota; Metazoa; Chordata; Actinopteri; Cichliformes; Cichlidae
Source: Ensembl